Molecule: non-coding RNA, 119 nt
Organism: Picea glauca (white spruce)
Lineage: Eukaryota; Viridiplantae; Streptophyta; Pinopsida; Pinales; Pinaceae
Source: Rfam
GGGUGCAAUCAUACCAACUUUAAUGCAUCGGAUCCCAUCAGAACUUCGCAGUUAAGCACGCUUGGGCUAGAGUAGUACUGGGAUCGGUGACCUCCCGGGAAGUCCUAAUGUUGCGCCCU